Molecule: ribosomal RNA, 469 nt
Filed under: uncultured beta proteobacterium
Lineage: Bacteria; Pseudomonadati; Pseudomonadota; Betaproteobacteria
Description: bacterial SSU rRNA
Rfam family: Bacterial small subunit ribosomal RNA
Source: RNAcentral
GGAGAAAAGCAGGGGAUCGAAAGACCUUGCGCUUAAGGAGCGGCUGAUGUCGGAUUAGCUAGUUGGCGGGGUAAAAGCCCACCAAGGCGACGAUCCGUAGCUGGUUUGAGAGAACGACCAGCCACACUGGGACUGAGACACGGCCCAGACUCCUACGGGAGGCAGCAGUGGGGAAUUUUGGACAAUGGGGGAAACCCUGAUCCAGCCAUGCCGCGUGUGUGAAGAAGGCCUUCGGGUUGUAAAGCACUUUCGGACGGAACGAAAUCGCAAGGGUGAAUAUCCCUUGUGGAUGACGGUACCGUAAGAAGAAGCACCGGCUAACUACGUGCCAGCAGCCGCGGUAAUACGUAGGGUGCGAGCGUUAAUCGGAAUUACUGGGCGUAAAGCGUGCGCAGGCGGCUUCGCAAGUCAGACGUGAAAUCCCCGGGCUUAACCUGGGAAUGGCGUUUGAAACUACAAAGCUAGAAGC